GAUGAAGAAGUAGCGAAAUGCGAUAAGUAAUGUGAAUUGCAGAAUUCAGUGAAUCAUCGAAUCUUUGAACGCACAUUGCGCCCGCCAGUAUUCUGGCGGGCAUGCCUGUUCGAGCGUCAUUUCAACCAUCAAGCCCCCGGCUUGUGUUGGGGACCUGCGGCUGCCGCAGGCCCUGAAAACCAGUGGCGGGCUCGCUGUCACACCGAGCGUAGUAGAUUUUCAUCUCGCUCAGGGCGUGCUGCGGGUUCCGGCCGUAAAAAGCCUUAUUUACCCAAGGUUGACCUCGGAUCAGGUAGGAAGACCCGCUGAACUUAAGCAUAUCAAUAAGCGGAGGA
This 335-nucleotide unclassified non-coding RNA is filed under the name soil metagenome. RNAcentral's name for it is "partial contains 5.8S ribosomal RNA, internal transcribed spacer 2, and large subunit ribosomal RNA". The stretch from base 1 to 119 matches the Rfam family "5.8S ribosomal RNA", at positions 35 to 154 of the family's 154-position model. The record is from RNAcentral.